GGAGCUGUAGCUCAGUUGGUUGUAGCGCGCGACUGUUAAUCGCGAGGUCAAAAGUUCGAGCCCUUUCAGCUCCG
This 74-nucleotide transfer RNA is filed under the name Mediterraneibacter hominis. It matches the Rfam family "tRNA". Rfam says of the family: Transfer RNA (tRNA) molecules are approximately 80 nucleotides in length. Their secondary structure includes four short double-helical elements and three loops (D, anti-codon, and T loops). Lineage: Bacteria; Bacillati; Bacillota; Clostridia; Lachnospirales; Lachnospiraceae. The record is from Rfam by way of RNAcentral.